RNAcentral lists this ribosomal RNA (784 nucleotides) under Pilatobius sp. XS-2020. Its description in RNAcentral is "partial large subunit ribosomal RNA". It matches the Rfam family "Eukaryotic large subunit ribosomal RNA", at positions 44 to 650 of the family's 3401-position model. The record is from RNAcentral. Lineage: Eukaryota; Metazoa; Tardigrada; Eutardigrada; Parachela; Hypsibiidae.
UACUAAGCGGAGGAAAAGAAACCAACGGGGAUUCCCAUAGUAACUGCGAGUGAAAGGGGAAAAGCCCAGCGCCGAAUCCUGCUGCUGGAGACGGUGGCAGGAACUGUGGCGUGAAGAAGGUGUCUAUCGGUGUGGUUUGCUCGCGUAAGUUCUCCUGAGUGAGGCUCCAUCCCAUGGAGGGUGCAAGGCCCGUGUCGUGAGCAGCCGUCGCUGAUGUGUACCUUCAGAGAGUCGCCUUGUUUGCGAGUACAAGGUGAAGUCGGUGGUAAACUCCAUCGAAGGCUAAAUAUGACCACGAGUCCGAUAGCGAACAAGUACCGUGAGGGAAAAUUGAAAAGCACUUUGAAGAGAGAGCGAAACAGUGCGUGAAACCGCUCAGAGGCAAGCAGAUGGGGCCUCGAAGGCAGAGCAUCGAAUUCAGCCGGUUGUCUGUGCCGGUUGGCCUGGAUUGGAGAUCGCAAGACUCUGCCUGGUCGACUUGGGUAUGGCGGCCGGUGCACUUUCGGUGCUUGUACGCCACCGCCGUUAAGGAGCGUCCGUCGGGCCGGCAUGUGGAGCCUUGCUCUCGCAAGAGUUGCAGGUGCUCACGGCAGGUCUGUACGCGUUCGCACCCUAACCGGUCAAGUCAGCAUGUGCCAGCGUUUGCGCUGGGCCGGCCAGCUCUAUGUGGGUUGUAUGGAGAUGACGAGCUUGCUCGGCUCUUCUGCACUCGCUAGACUUGUGCUGGUUUUCAGCGUGGCACAUUGUAGAUUCGGUGGCGAGUAGACGGCUGCCCAUCUAACCC